AACGAACGCUGGCGGCGCGCUUAAUACAUGCAAGUCGAACGAGAAGGUGUAGCAAUACACUUGUAAAGUGGCGAACGGGUGAGGAAUACAUGGGUAACCUACCCUCGAGUGGGGAACAACCAGCCGAAAGGUUGGCUAAUACCGCGUACGCUUCCGGGUCUUCGGAUUCGGAAGGAAAGUCAUACCGUGGGUAUGACGCUCAAGGAUGGGGCUCAUGUCCUAUCAGCUUGUUGGUAGGGUAACGGCCUACCAAGGCUCCGACGGGUAGCUGGUCUGAGAGGACGAUCAGCCACACUGGCACUGCGACACGGGCCAGACUCCUACGGGAGGCAGCAGUAAGGAAUAUGCGCAAUGGGCGAAAGCCUGACGCAGCGACGCCGCGUGGGGGAUGAAGGUCUUCGGAUUGUAAACCCCUUUCGGGAGGGAAAAUGGAACGAGCAAUCGUUCGGAUGGUACCUCCAGAAGCAGCCACGGCUAACUUCGUGCCA
RNAcentral lists this ribosomal RNA (488 nucleotides) under uncultured bacterium. RNAcentral's name for it is "bacterial SSU rRNA". It matches the Rfam family "Bacterial small subunit ribosomal RNA", at positions 29 to 510 of the family's 1533-position model. The record is from RNAcentral.